GACGAACGCUGGCGGCGUGCUUAACACAUGCAAGUCGAACGGAAAGGCCCCUUUGGGGGUACUCGAGUGGCGAACGGGUGAGUAACACGUGAGUAACCUGCCCUUGACUUCGGGAUAACUUCAGGAAACUGGGGCUAAUACCGGAUAGGAAUCCUUGCUGCAUGGUGGGGGUUGGAAAGCUUCGGCGGUUUUGGAUGGACUCGCGGCUUAUCAGCUUGUUGGUGGGGUAGUGGCUUACCAAGGCUUUGACGGGUAGCCGGCCUGAGAGGGCGACCGGCCACAUUGGGACUGAGAUACGGCCCAGACUCCUACGGGAGGCAGCAGUGGGGAAUAUUGCACAAUGGGCGGAAACCUGAUGCAGCAACGCCGCGUGCGGGAUGACGGCCUUCGGGUUGUAAACCGCUUUCAGCAGGGGCGAAGCUUGUGGUGACGGUACCUGCAGAAGAAGCACCGGCUAACUACGUG
RNAcentral lists this ribosomal RNA (465 nucleotides) under uncultured bacterium. Its description in RNAcentral is "partial 16S ribosomal RNA". It matches the Rfam family "Bacterial small subunit ribosomal RNA", at positions 28 to 507 of the family's 1533-position model. The record is from RNAcentral.